GAACUGAUCAAGCUGCUUUGGUAAACACACACACUUUCUGAACCACUUGUCCCAUACAGGGUCACAGGGAACCAGAGCCUACCCGACAACACAGGGCAUAACACCAGAGGGGGAGGGGACACACCCAGGACAGGACGCCAGUCCAUCGCAAGGCACCCCAAGCGGGACUCAAACCCCAGACCCACUGGAGAGCAGGACCCGGUCCAACCCACUGCGCCACCACAUCCCCACUUUGACACUGUCCUUGAGAAACCUACAAUACAGGCUGGUGAAACCAGGAAAGACGCAAUAUUCACUGUUCAGGCAAUAUUGAGAAAGAGCGCUCUCAGGAGGAAAGGAAACAGUGAUGACUGUGGAGUUGGAUUCAGUGACAAGUCCUGGGUUCUGUGCUGUACUAAUUGUAAAUACUCUGUCAAACACAAUAAGACACACACUGACAUAUCUGCA
Molecule: long non-coding RNA, 447 nt
Filed under: Scleropages formosus (Asian bonytongue)
Lineage: Eukaryota; Metazoa; Chordata; Actinopteri; Osteoglossiformes; Osteoglossidae
Description: lncRNA (ENSSFOG00015032687.1)
Source: RNAcentral